GCCAGUUUUUAGGGCCAAUUGACUGACUAAUCCAAGCUUGCCAGCUUGUGGCGGAAAAAUAGAUCCAAACACACAUGCUCCCACAUUUAUGUGAUGACUUUACUCGGGGCCCACACCAUCGCCCUCUGGCCCCUAUUCCUCCAUCCUGAUGAGAUUUCUGGUUGGUUUAUGGUUACAUGGCAACCAACCAGUGUACAUAACGCCUCCCACCCCCAGACCCCCUUAGCUGGGAGACCCCAUGCCCUUUGCCCUCUCCCUUCUUGCUGCCUGGAAGAUGGACCUGGUGCCUAGAGACACGGCAGCUGUCUUGACCAUGGGACACAGCCACGCCCUGAGGAUGGCCGUGCAGGGAGACAGAGGAGGCUGGUUCCUGAAUGAGCGCAUCAACCCCAGACCACUCGUCCACCCUGGACAACUUGUCAGUUAUUAUAUCUUGGAGAUCCUUUCACACCAAUAAUUGUAGAUCUGCCUAUUCUUUCUUUUUUUUUUGAGGAAGAUUAACCCUGAGCUAACAUCUGCCGCCAAUCCUCCUUUUUUUGCUGAUGAAGCCUGGCCAUGAGCCAACAUCUGUGCCCAUCUUCCUCUACUUUAUAUGUGGGACGCCUACCAUAGCAUGGCUUGAUAAGCAGUGCCAUGUCCGCACCCAGGAUCCGAACCUUUGAACCCUGGGCCGAAGAAGUGGAACGUGUGCCCCCAACCGCUGUGCCACCAGGCCAGCCCCUCUGCCUAUUCCUUUUAAUGGCUGAACAGUAUUCCAUUGUGUGAAUAUAGUGCAAUUAAUUUAAUCACCCCAUUGUUGAUGGACAUUUAUGCUGCGGGGGAUUUUAAAAUCAUUCUUGGGUCAGCUGGCCUCUGUGCUGUUUCUGUGUCAGCCAUUGAAGUCUGCAGAGAAAAUACAAACUAAUUAUAUCUGCUGGACCGAGGGAAAUUAAAAAUGAAAAGCCAAUUGCAAACUCUUCUCACUUUUCAGCAUCUCCACGUAAAACAUUCCGAAGUCAGAAAUACAAUUUUUGCUCUACACCACUUUCAAUUAUGCGAGUCACAGUUUCCUUCUCUUGCUGGGGUUUUUGACUCACAGAAGAACAUCCCCCGGGUAUGGCAGGAACGGGAAACAGCACAGACCUUAGGCUGCCUGGGUUGGAAUCUCAGCUUCAUGCUUCGUAGCUGUGUGGACUUGGCAAAGUUACUUAACCCCACUGUGCCUCAUUUUCUCAUCUGUAAAAUGUGGAUAAUAAUUGUACCCAUCUUACAGGGAUGAAGUGAGGAUCAAAUGAGUUAAAAGCUCGAGUUCUUCGGACUGUGACAGGCAGAGAAAAAGCGCUAAGUGCUGGCCGUUAAUAGUCUAGGUGGCCUUGGAAUCAAACCGAGGGGCCAGUUGCUUCUGCCGUGGUGGUGUUGUCCAAGGUCACCACCACAGCAUGGCUGAUGAGUGGUGUAGGUCUGUGGCCGGGAUCUGAACCUGUGAACCCUGGGCCACUGAAGCAGAAUGCACCAAACUUAACCACGAUGCCAUGGGGCCGGCCCCGAGAAUCUGCAUUUUUAAUGUGAUGAAUCUCAGUCAGGUGGUUGUGGACUAUGCUUAAAAAAACAGGCAAGUGGUCAUGGCAAUUACAUUUUUAAAAAUGAUCUUCAAUAGCUGGAUUCUUUCAUUUUCUCCAGAUUACCAGGCUGGUACCUACUUCACUUCCUCCCAGAGCUGUGGGUAGAAGAAAUAUAUGGGAAUCCAAAAUAAUGAUAUUUCAACUAGAGCUCUGUUGUGAUCUGAUACUUGCAAAAUACCCUAAUAAAAGCAAAUAUUACAGACAUUUGAAUAAUGCAAAGUAAAGUAUAUUUUGAAGAUGUUUUGAAAAUAAUGAUGCUAAUACGCUGCCUUGUUUGAAGUGAAGUAUGAGUGCUAUGCAAAGCUCUUUUGUUUAGGGAGACAAUGCUGCACGAUGACAUCAGAG
Molecule: long non-coding RNA, 1946 nt
Filed under: Equus caballus (horse)
Lineage: Eukaryota; Metazoa; Chordata; Mammalia; Perissodactyla; Equidae
Description: lncRNA (ENSECAG00000056731.1)
Source: RNAcentral